Molecule: transfer RNA, 54 nt
Filed under: Nothophytophthora caduca
Lineage: Eukaryota; Oomycota; Peronosporomycetes; Peronosporales; Peronosporaceae
Also listed under: 1 other name
Description: partial tRNA-Gln
Rfam family: tRNA
About the family: Transfer RNA (tRNA) molecules are approximately 80 nucleotides in length. Their secondary structure includes four short double-helical elements and three loops (D, anti-codon, and T loops). Further hydrogen bonds mediate the characteristic L-shaped molecular structure. tRNAs have two regions of fundamental functional importance: the anti-codon, which is responsible for specific mRNA codon recognition, and the 3' end, to which the tRNAs corresponding amino acid is attached (by aminoacyl-tRNA synthetases). tRNAs cope with the degeneracy of the genetic code in two manners: having more than one tRNA (with a specific anti-codon) for a particular amino acid; and 'wobble' base-pairing, i.e. permitting non-standard base-pairing at the 3rd anti-codon position.
Source: RNAcentral
UGAAGUAUAGCCAAGUGGUAAGGCCUCCGUUUUUGGUGCGGAAAAUCAAAGGUU